UGGAAACGCCGCGGGAAGGAGAGAGAAAACUCAUCGAAAAAUCGACGAAGUCGGGUAAGGAAGACGAGAUCCACAGAUCCGGGUAAACCCAAACCCAAAACCCGAGAGAGCCAGCCCAUUCUUUCCCUUGGCCUCUACCUUCGGCCCAGCCCAACUACAGUGGCUUAAACCUCAAACCAGCCUAGAAGCUACAAUUCAGUUGAACCAACUCGAGACCAGACCCACGGUCCAAUUGAGUCAGCCUGCAACCCAAACACUUGCGGCCCAACGAUUAGUCUUGGCCUAGUGGCCUUUCGCAGCCCGUGACUCGGACCACGACCCGAAUCGGACUGCGACACGCGCUUCGACCCGAUGCUACCGCACGAUGUGGCUCGCUCUGCUACUGCCACGUGUCACACAGCGGUGCAGGCGGUUCCUCGGCUCGGCUCGAAACAAACAGCUCGGGCUCCCUCUCGUGACGCUCCGGCGACUCCCAACGGCUGUUCGGCUCAGCUCACCUGUUUUCAGCCCAGUUUCUAUUGUUUCGACCCUCCCGAAUCUGUUUUUGGCCCCGAUUAAGGAAACAAACCCCGACAACGUAGGAAGCAACUCUCACGGAACGGGAGCUUACGUUUAGCUAUUUAGGGAGUACUUCGGCCAAGGUCAACCAAGUAAAGGCAAGGCUCCCAUGUACAGUUGACGGUGGUAUCGUGAUCAGAGAUUGUGGCGCGUGCAUAGGAUAGUUGCAUAUUUA
Molecule: long non-coding RNA, 733 nt
Organism: Cucurbita maxima (winter squash)
Lineage: Eukaryota; Viridiplantae; Streptophyta; Magnoliopsida; Cucurbitales; Cucurbitaceae
Exons: 3
Source: RefSeq, a predicted model, not a curated record